AUGGCGAAGAUGAUCUUCGAGAGACCACAAGGUUGCUUGCCUAGCAACACAGAGAUCAAUUUGAGGGAGCAACUCAAUGUAAUCACAUUGAGAAGUGGUAAAGAGCUAGAGGAGCCACAUCAAAGAGAAGAGACGGAGGAGGAAACAACAAAUAAGGAGCUGAUUAAUAGCAAAAAUCAGCCAACUCAAGUCUGUCAGUCUCCUAAAUAGCCAGC
RNAcentral lists this long non-coding RNA (215 nucleotides) under Elaeis guineensis (African oil palm). RNAcentral's name for it is "long non-coding RNA (EGUI_LNC048371)". The record is from RNAcentral. Lineage: Eukaryota; Viridiplantae; Streptophyta; Magnoliopsida; Arecales; Arecaceae.